AUUGAACGCUGGCGGCAUGCCUUACACAUGCAAGUCGAACGGCAGCGGGCCUUCGGGUGCCGGCGAGUGGCGAACGGGUGAGUAAUGCAUCGGAACGUGCCAUUGAGUGGGGGGAUAACGUAGCGAAAGUUACGCUAAUACCGCAUAUUCUGUGAGCAGGAAAGCAGGGGACCGCAAGGCCUUGCGCUCUUUGAGCGGCCGAUGUCAGAUUAGCUAGUUGGUGAGGUAACGGCUUACCAAGGCGACGAUCUGUAGCGGGUCUGAGAGGAUGAUCCGCCACACUGGAACUGAGACACGGUCCAGACUCCUACGGGAGGCAGCAGUGGGGAAUUUUGGACAAUGGGCGCAAGCCUGAUCCAGCCAUGCCGCGUGAGUGAAGAAGGCCUGG
RNAcentral lists this ribosomal RNA (388 nucleotides) under uncultured bacterium. RNAcentral's name for it is "bacterial SSU rRNA". It matches the Rfam family "Bacterial small subunit ribosomal RNA", at positions 30 to 419 of the family's 1533-position model. The record is from RNAcentral.